Molecule: unclassified non-coding RNA, 235 nt
Filed under: uncultured Polyporales
Lineage: Eukaryota; Fungi; Basidiomycota; Agaricomycetes; Polyporales
Description: sequence contains ITS2
Source: RNAcentral
UAUUUUCAACCCUUCAGUAAUUUUUUUAAUCUUACGGUUGGGCUUGGACUUGGAGGUUUUUUUGCUGGUGAUACAGGUUGAAUUUCAAUCUACACAUUGGCUCCUCUGAAAUACAUUCGCUUGGAUUAAUUACCAAGUAUGGUUCAGUGUGAUAAUGUCUACGCUGUUUCAUCUUGGCAAACGUUAAGUGUCCAGGCUUUGACUUCUGUCUUUUAUUGACAGAAUCUUUAAACAU